GAGGAUUGCUUGAGCCCAGGAGGUGGAGGCUGCAGUGAGCUGUGAUCGUGCCACUGCACUCCAGCCUGAGUGACAGAGAAGACCCUGUCUCA
This 92-nucleotide microRNA precursor is filed under the name Cercocebus atys (sooty mangabey). Its description in RNAcentral is "miRNA (ENSCATG00000016490.1)". Lineage: Eukaryota; Metazoa; Chordata; Mammalia; Primates; Cercopithecidae. The record is from RNAcentral.